Molecule: ribosomal RNA, 457 nt
Filed under: uncultured Eubacteriales bacterium
Lineage: Bacteria; Bacillati; Bacillota; Clostridia; Eubacteriales
Description: bacterial SSU rRNA
Rfam family: Bacterial small subunit ribosomal RNA
Source: RNAcentral
GGACCCGCACAAGCAGCGGAGCAUGUGGUUUAAUUCGAAGCAACGCGAAGAACCUUACCUAGACUUGACAUCCCUCGCAUAACUGUUAAUCCAGGAAGUUUCCCCUUCGGGGGAGACGAGGAGACAGGUGGUGCAUGGUUGUCGUCAGCUCGUGUCGUGAGAUGUUGGGUUAAGUCCCGCAACGAGCGCAACCCCUGUUGUUAGUUGCUACCAUUAAGUUGAGCACUCUAGCGAGACUGCCUGGGUUAACCAGGAGGAAGGUGGGGAUGACGUCAAAUCAUCAUGCCCCUUAUGUCUAGGGCUACACACGUGCUACAAUGGCGAGUACAGAGAGAAGCAAGACCGCGAGGUGGAGCAAAACUCAAAAACUCGUCCCAGUUCGGAUUGUAGGCUGAAACUCGCCUACAUGAAGUUGGAGUUGCUAGUAAUCGCGAAUCAGAAUGUCGCGGUGAAUACG